GAUGAACGCUGGCGGCGUGCUUAACACAUGCCAGUCGAACGAUGAAGCCCAGCUUGCUGGGUGGAUUAGUGGCGAACGGGUGAGUAACACGUGAGUAACCUGCCCUUAACUCUGGGAUAAGCCUGGGAAACUGGGUCUAAUACCGGAUAGGAGCGUCCACCGCAUGGUGGGUGUUGGAAAGAUUUAUCGGUUUUGGAUGGACUCGCGGCCUAUCAGCUUGUUUGUGAGGUAAUGGCCCACCAAGGCGACGGCGGGUAGGCGGCCUGGGAGGGUGACCGGCCACACUGGGACUGAGACACGGCCCAGACUCCUACGGGAGGCAGCAGUGGGGAAUAUUGCACAAUGGGCGCAAGCCUGAUGCAGCGACGCCGCGUGAGGGAUGACGGCCUUCGGGUUGUAAACCUCUUUCAGUAGGGAAGAAGCGAAAGUGACGGUACCUGCAGAAGAAGCACCGGCUAACUACGUG
This 466-nucleotide ribosomal RNA is filed under the name uncultured bacterium. Its description in RNAcentral is "partial 16S ribosomal RNA". It matches the Rfam family "Bacterial small subunit ribosomal RNA", at positions 28 to 507 of the family's 1533-position model. The record is from RNAcentral.